This 396-nucleotide ribosomal RNA is filed under the name uncultured bacterium. RNAcentral describes it as "partial 16S ribosomal RNA". It matches the Rfam family "Bacterial small subunit ribosomal RNA", at positions 523 to 918 of the family's 1533-position model. The record is from RNAcentral.
AUACGGAGGGUGCAAGCGUUAAUCGGAAUUACUGGGCGUAAAGCGCACGCAGGCGGUUUGUUAAGUCAGAUGUGAAAUCCCCGGGCUCAACCUGGGAACUGCAUCUGAUACUGGCAAGCUUGAGUCUCGUAGAGGGGGGUAGAAUUCCAGGUGUAGCGGUGAAAUGCGUAGAGAUCUGGAGGAAUACCGGUGGCGAAGGCGGCCCCCGGAACGAAGACUGCCGCUCAGGUGCGAAAGCGUGGGGAGCAAACAGGAUUAGAUCCCCUGGUAGUCCACGCCGUAAACGAUGUCGACUUGGAGGUUGUGCCCUUGAGGCGUGGCUUCCGGAGCUAACGCGUUAAGUCGACCGCCUGGGGAGUACGGCCGCAAGGUUAAAACUCAAAUGAAUUGACGGGG